RNAcentral lists this long non-coding RNA (221 nucleotides) under Mustela putorius furo (domestic ferret). RNAcentral's name for it is "lncRNA (ENSMPUG00000026516.1)". Lineage: Eukaryota; Metazoa; Chordata; Mammalia; Carnivora; Mustelidae. The record is from RNAcentral.
UAAAUACAUCAGCUCCUUCUUCUCAAGGUGGAUUCUGAUGCAUGUCCUUUGUUUCUCCCCAAGGGCCCAGUAGGACAAGUGCCUCACAGACACAGCUGGGACCGCCACAACUUUGUAUUGGUGCUAUUCCUUUCCUGGCUUGCUUCCCCAACUGUAGCACAAUUUUUCACAAUGUCACCUUCCAAAUAUGCUGCCUACAAAUGACUCCUUCUUUCAGAUAA